GUACACUCCUGCGGGAGGCAGCAGUGAGGAAUAUUGGACAAUGGGUGGAAGCCUGAUCCAGCCAUCCCGCGUGCAGGAAGACGGCCCUAUGGGUUGUAAACUGCUUUUAUCUGGGGAUAAACCUACUUACGUGUAAGUAGCUGAAGGUACCAGAAGAAUAAGCACCGGCUAACUCCGUGCCAGCAGCCGCGGUAAUACGGAGGGUGCAAGCGUUAUCCGGAUUUAUUGGGUUUAAAGGGUCCGUAGGCGGACUGAUAAGUCAGUGGUGAAAUCCGACAGCUUAACUGUCGAACUGCCAUUGAUACUGUUAGUCUUGAGUAAGGUUGAAGUGGCUGGAAUAAGUAGUGUAGCGGUGAAAUGCAUAGAUAUUACUUAGAACACCAAUUGCGAAGGCAGGUCACUAAGUCUUAACUGACGCUGAUGGACGAAAGCGUGGGGAGCGAACAGGAUUAGAAACCCCGGUAGUCCCA
Molecule: ribosomal RNA, 470 nt
Filed under: uncultured organism
Description: partial 16S ribosomal RNA
Rfam family: Bacterial small subunit ribosomal RNA
Source: RNAcentral